AGACGUAGGGGGCUAGCGUUGUCCGGAAUUACUGGGCGUAAAGGGCGUGUAGGCGGCCAGGCAAGUCAGUGGUGAAACACCUGGGCUUAACCGAGGUAUUGCCGUUGAAACUGUCUGGCUUGAGGAUAGAAGAGGAGUGUGGAAUUCCCGGUGUAGCGGUGAAAUGCGUAGAGAUCGGGAGGAACACCAGUGGCGAAGGCGGCACUCUGGUCUAUACCUGACGCUGAGGCGCGAAAGCUAGGGAAGCAAACAGGAUUAGAUACCCUGGUAGUCCUAGCCGUAAACGAUGGGCACUAGGUGUAGGAGGUUUAGAUACCUUCUGUGCCGUAGCUAACGCAUUAAGUGCCCCGCCUGGGGACUACGGUCGCAAGGCUAAA
RNAcentral lists this ribosomal RNA (377 nucleotides) under uncultured bacterium. Its description in RNAcentral is "bacterial SSU rRNA". It matches the Rfam family "Bacterial small subunit ribosomal RNA", at positions 523 to 898 of the family's 1533-position model. The record is from RNAcentral.